GAAAAACAGUUCAAUUAGCAUGUUGGAUUUAGGUAUUGGAGCUUCCAGAAGCAAAUGCUUUUGCAGAUAAUAUGGUUAGAAUUAGUGCUAAUUAGAGCAAUACUAUCUGUUGGAGUGUUUGAUACUGUGGAUGUUGUUUGCUGUUGCUUUUAGUAUUUGGUAAUCUUUAGUUCUUCCAUGGUUUUGCAGAGUUUCCUUAAAUUGAUCACUUUUGAUUCAUAGGAUUGCUUCCAAUGUUAUGUAACAAAUGGGUUGCUAGCAGGGGCCCACGUAAUGUUAUAUAGCCCUAUCUAUAUAUCUGCUGGUUCUCAAAAGAAAAACAGAAUUUACUGGUAGAACAUCUAGUUCUUCUUUUUGAAUCGUUAUAAUUUCUGGUGUAGCAACCAUACAGGCGAAGAAAGUAAAGCCUACCUUUCAACAUUGCUUCAAAGUAAAAGCACAACACUCACUACCAACCUGGAGCACCCAACCUAGAAGGAAGGGUUAUCUAAGCAUUUGUCAGAUUGAUUUAAGUCCUCUUGUAUAAACUCGUAUUAAACAUGAAUUAAAAUGUAAUUUGUCUAGCACUCUCUCCGAAUUUAAUACAAUGCAAUCCAUUACAUAAACUUGAGAAAGCUUCUUGUGCAAUCUCUUAUUUAUUGGGUGAAACUAGACUUUCUAUAUAUAGCUCUGACACUGAAUCUCUAUAAUGCAUUACUUGAAGUCUCUGCAUUGUACCUUGUUUUGGGUUGUACAAGUAUAUUUCCCAUCCAUCACAGUCCAUUAAAACUUCUCCAUUCUCUGUCAAGCACAAAGCAUUAUUUCCAUAUCCAGGAAAUUUGUGAUGUGGGAAACUGAACAAUCUGGUCAAAGAUGCUUCAAUGCCAUUCACAUUCAAUACCAAGGCCUCAAAACUGGUUCCUCUGCAUUCACAAAAUAUACACAGCCGAUUUCCUGACGCCCCCAAACUUACAAUACAAUUGGAGUUGAAAUGGUCCGGUAGUGGCAGGACUUCCUGGAAUUUCUCCUCCACCAUGUCAAAUGCAACAAUUACAUAAACUUGAUGAAGAUCACUUCUUUUUGUUUCCAACCAAUAUAGAGCUCCAUUCCAAAAAAUUCCAUAUCCUCCAUAUGAUUGAGAAACUGCAUCAAUCUCUUUAAUUCUUCUCCAGGCGCCAGUUUUUAAUGUGUAAAGUUCAACUAUAGUUUCUUUAGAAUCAUUAGCAGUAAACUGGCUGGCAAAUAAUACUCCAUAAUCAUCAGUAGAGAAAUUGUAACCGAGUCCAUAGCGGAACAUACGAUAGAUUGCACCAUUGGGGUUUGGCAAUUCCGUGUAGUCUCCGGUAGUCGGAUUCCACAAGAACAUGCUGCCAUAAUCAUCGAGUAAAUAAACCAGGCCAUUACAGGAUCCCAGAAUUCCAACGUAAAAGUUGUCAAGAGGACCUUUCACUAUAGCAGGAUAACUGAGGAUUCUGACAUUACCAUCACAGAAUGCCUCGUAGUCUACAGAUUGAGGAGGCCAAGUUGACAGGAGGAGUUUCUGGCAACUAAAGUUGUUGUGGUUCUCCUUUGCUCUAUUGAGCUGGAGCUUGGCGAAUUCAGGAUCGGAGAUCAUUGAGCGCCAUGUUUUGCUCAGGCAUUUAAAUCGAAUCAGAGGCUUGACUGGUAGCCUAGAGAAUAUUUCGACGAUGAGAUCCUGAGGUAGCUUGGACAUGACUUAUCUUCAGCUUGGUUUGAAUUAGUCUCUGUUAAUAUUCUGAGCAAAUUUUUGGUUUAGUUUCUAUUUAUACUCUUUAAGAAAUAUAAACUUAAGAUCCAAGUCUUGUUCAUGGGUCUAUCAAAUUAGACAAAUUCCAUUGUUUUGAGCUUCAUCACAAGUAGAACUUCUAGAAUCCCAAUUUUCUUCUUAUCACCCUAUUAGACCAAUUCAUUUUUGUUCUUUAAUUUUGAUUUAUUCAAACCAGGCCAUUCACUUGGAUAUCCAAAUUGAACUUGUCAAGUUUUGUUGACACUUGGUACACUAGCAAAG
RNAcentral lists this unclassified non-coding RNA (2008 nucleotides) under Hevea brasiliensis (rubber tree). The record is from RNAcentral. Lineage: Eukaryota; Viridiplantae; Streptophyta; Magnoliopsida; Malpighiales; Euphorbiaceae.